UACGUAGGUCCCGAGCGUUGUCCGGAUUUAUUGGGCGUAAAGCGAGCGCAGGCGGUUAGAUAAGUCUGAAGUUAAAGGCUGUGGCUUAACCAUAGUACGCUUUGGAAACUGUUUAACUUGAGUGCAAGAGGGGAGAGUGGAAUUCCAUGUGUAGCGGUGAAAUGCGUAGAUAUAUGGAGGAACACCGGUGGCGAAAGCGGCACUCUGGCUUGUAACUGACGCUGAGGCUCGAAAGCGU
This 238-nucleotide ribosomal RNA is filed under the name uncultured Streptococcaceae bacterium. RNAcentral describes it as "partial 16S ribosomal RNA". It matches the Rfam family "Bacterial small subunit ribosomal RNA", at positions 524 to 762 of the family's 1533-position model. The record is from RNAcentral. Lineage: Bacteria; Bacillati; Bacillota; Bacilli; Lactobacillales; Streptococcaceae.